GACAGAGGGUGCAAGCGUUGUUCGGAAUUACUGGGCGUAAAGGGCGCGUAGGCGGCCUUCUAAGUCGAACGUGAAAUCCCCGGGCUCAACCCGGGAACUGCGUCCGAUACUGGAAGGCUUGAAUCCGGGAGAGGGAUGUGGAAUUCCAGGUGUAGCGGUGAAAUGCGUAGAUAUCUGGAGGAACACCGGUGGCGAAGGCGACAUCCUGGACCGGUAUUGACGCUGAGGCGCGAAAGCCAGGGGAGCAAACGGG
Molecule: ribosomal RNA, 253 nt
Filed under: uncultured bacterium
Lineage: Bacteria
Description: partial 16S ribosomal RNA
Rfam family: Bacterial small subunit ribosomal RNA
Source: RNAcentral